RNAcentral lists this long non-coding RNA (731 nucleotides) under Equus asinus (donkey). RNAcentral describes it as "lncRNA (ENSEASG00005025842.1)". The record is from RNAcentral. Lineage: Eukaryota; Metazoa; Chordata; Mammalia; Perissodactyla; Equidae.
AACAGGAUUUAUAACACCAUAAGCACUAUAUAAGUGUUGAUUAACAUCCAGCAGAACCAGUGUUCUAAAACAGACUUUGGGAAACAGUGGUAGAGAAUCCAGCCCUUUAGCAUUCUGGGGCUUCUGUCUCUCCAUGUGAAGAUUACCAACUAUUUGGAGAGAAGGGAUAUAAUUGUGACACAAUAUGUUAAGUCCUGAACAAGGAGCAAGUGUGGACUCUGGAGCCCAGAGAAGACAAGGAUAUUUCUAACAGAGAGGGAGGUUUCAGGAAAGAAUCCACAGUCAAAUUGACAGAAAUCCUAAAAUGCAGGUAGGAUUUCACCAAGCAGAAAAGUGGAGAAGGACAGCAGCAAAGACCUGGCCUGGCUGGGAAACAGAAUUAAGAAGCACAAACGUGAAAAACAGAUACUCAACCAGGGAAGGAUCAGAGGAUCAGUACGGCAAGAGAUCAGCGUGGGUACUCUGGAAAAGCUGGGAUGGAACAUCCCGAGACUACACUCCAUUCGAGAGCCCACUUGGCCCCAGCAGCCUUUCUCCUCUCCUCGCUGGACCACAGAAGCCUGGGAUUUCUAUCAGCUGAAAUAUAGGAGCAGACCCUGGAGCUGCAGCAGCCAUCUUUUGGCCAGGAGGACCAAAGUCAUGCACUAGGAGGGCAGAAGAGAAAGACAGAAGAAUAUUCUUGAGUAGGCCUGCACUGCCGGCUUCCAGACUUCCCGUUGCAUUUAAGAAAA